AGCGAACGCUGGCGGCAGGCCUAACACAUGCAAGUCGAACGAACCUUUCGGGGUUAGUGGCGGACGGGUGAGUAACACGUGGGAACGUGCCUUUAGGUUCGGAAUAACUCAGGGAAACUUGUGCUAAUACCGAAUGUGCCCUUCGGGGGAAAGAUUUAUCGCCUUUAGAGCGGCCCGCGUCUGAUUAGCUAGUUGGUUGAGGUAAUGGCUCACCAAGGCGACGAUCAGUAGCUGGUCUGAGAGGAUGAUCAGCCACAUUGGGACUGAGACACGGCCCAAACUCCUACGGGAGGCAGCAGUGGGGAAUCUAGCGCAAUGGGGGAAAGCCUGACGCAGCCAUGCCGCGUGAAUGAUGAAGGUCUUAGGAUUGUAAAAUUCUUUCACCGGGGACGAUAAUGACGGUACCCGGAGAAGAAGCCCCGGCUAACUUCGUG
This 434-nucleotide ribosomal RNA is filed under the name uncultured bacterium. RNAcentral's name for it is "partial 16S ribosomal RNA". It matches the Rfam family "Bacterial small subunit ribosomal RNA", at positions 29 to 507 of the family's 1533-position model. The record is from RNAcentral.